Molecule: small RNA, 28 nt
Filed under: Bombyx mori (domestic silkworm)
Lineage: Eukaryota; Metazoa; Arthropoda; Insecta; Lepidoptera; Bombycidae
Description: ovarian small RNA-1867
Source: RNAcentral
UACGAAUCUUAUCAAAUUUGGCGGCGGC